AUUGAACGCUGGCGGCAUGCUUUACACAUGCAAGUCGAACGGCAGCGCGGGCUUCGGCCUGGCGGCGAGUGGCGAACGGGUGAGUAAUACAUCGGAACGUGCCCAGUCGUGGGGGAUAGCUCGGCGAAAGCCGGAUUAAUACCGCAUACGACCUGAGGGUGAAAGCGGGGGAUCUUCGGACCUCGCGCUAUUGGAGCGGCCGAUGGGAGAUUAGCUAGUUGGUGGGGUAAAGGCCUACCAAGGCGACGAUCUGUAGCUGGUCUGAGAGGACGACCAGCCACACUGGGACUGAGACACGGCCCAGACUCCUACGGGAGGCAGCAGUGGGGAAUUUUGGACAAUGGGCGAAAGCCUGAUCCAGCAAUGCCGCGUGUGUGAUGAAGGCCUUCGGGUUGUAAAGCACUUUUGGCGGGAACGAAAAGGACUGUGCCAAUACCACGGUUCGAUGACGGUACCCGCAGAAUAAGCACCGGCUAACUACGUG
This 484-nucleotide ribosomal RNA is filed under the name uncultured bacterium. RNAcentral describes it as "partial 16S ribosomal RNA". It matches the Rfam family "Bacterial small subunit ribosomal RNA", at positions 29 to 507 of the family's 1533-position model. The record is from RNAcentral.